Molecule: ribosomal RNA, 252 nt
Filed under: uncultured bacterium
Lineage: Bacteria
Description: partial 16S ribosomal RNA
Rfam family: Bacterial small subunit ribosomal RNA
Source: RNAcentral
UACGAAGGGGGCUAGCGUUGCUCGGAAUCACUGGGCGUAAAGCGCACGUAGGCGGAUCUUUAAGUCAGGGGUGAAAUCCCAAGGCUCAACCUUGGAACUGCCUUUGAUACUGGGGAUCUCGAGUCCGGAAGAGGUUGGUGGAACUGCGAGUGUAGAGGUGAAAUUCGUAGAUAUUCGGAAGAACACCAGUGGCGAAGGCGGCUCACUGGACCGGCAUUGACGCUGAGGUGCGAAAGCGUGGGGAGCAACAGG